This is a long non-coding RNA of Syngnathoides biaculeatus (alligator pipefish), 743 nucleotides long. RefSeq lists it as uncharacterized. The transcript has 3 exons. NCBI's taxonomy places the organism in Eukaryota, Metazoa, Chordata, Actinopteri, Syngnathiformes, Syngnathidae. The record is from RefSeq and is a predicted model, not a curated record.
CCGAGACGUCUUCGAGAGAUCGGCAUUGACUUGCCGUCGAGACUCUUUCGAGACUUGCCAGAAGACUUCUAUAAAAGCCAAGUGUGAAAUCUAAUUCCUUUUACAAGUUCAUCUCCAAAUCCAGGCGACAGCUCUUUUUCUUGAAAAGGCAGAACUGCUGUGUCCUUGAGAAUAACCUGCUUGUAAUGAGCGCCCCGUAAUCUUGCGGAGGAGCUACUUUUAAUUGACAAAAGAACCAUCAAAGGCAACUUCACAGAUGGGACUAAACCCAAAUUAUAUUUUAAUUAAGAGGGAUGUAAGGAUUCUUUGCUUCCCCAGGCGGGGAAGUGCUUCCCGGUGGACCGCCGUCAGAAUUCACUCUGAGGUUACUGCACGAGAUGGAGUGCUGCCCAAAAGUUUUCAACGGAAUCACCCUUCAACCACCCUCUAACCACCUGAACCAUCAACAAACUGUGAAAAGAGGAACGUUUGAGUUGGGGCAAAGAACCGAGGGAGUUAAAGACAACUUGACAGUGAGGAAUUCUGGAUCACAAUAUCAUCUGCGAACAUCAUAGUCCAAGGGGAUUCCAGUCUAAACUCAUCUGUCAGUCUAUCCAUGACCACAGCAAAGAGGAAGGGGCUCAGAGCGGAUGCCUGAUGCAGUCCCACCUCCACCUUAAAAUCUUCUGUCAAACCGACGGCACACCUCAACACUGUUCUGCUGCCCUCAUGUAUGUCCUGUACUAUUCUACAUAUUUCUCUGC